GUUUGCUUAGCCCCAAAAAAAAAUGGGAGAGAGAAGAAACAUUAUCCCCGCGAAUAAAAUGUCUCUCCGGUCGCCGCGGCUUCUCGUCCGCUCCGCUUCCGCUGGAUGCACGGACGCGCGGGCAGGGCGCCGGCGGGUCGCCGGACUGUCCUCCGUCUCUCUCCCCAUCCAAUACCGCUCGCGGCUGCUGCCGCUUCUGGCUUCUGAAUCCCGCUCGCGGGGAACUGGCGACGGAGAGUGGAGAGCCCCUCGAUUUGGGCAUUGGGGGGAUUUUUGCCCCACUAAUUUUGGCGAAAUUCAGUGAGUGAGUGGAAGUACCAUGCUGCUGGUUGCUGGCAAUCACUCGGAAAGAAGUUGUUUGUUUCUUUUACCAUAGGUAAUGGACCAAUGCGGCUAAUUAGUUUCUGAAUUAGCCUUCAUAAGAAAUAUUUGCACUCUCUGAAUUUUUACAGUGAAGAGUAUUUAUUUUGACAUGUUUCUCUUUUGGAGAAUAUGCAAUGUUGUUCUGAAAGUACUCAAAAUAUGCUGGUAAUAACAUUUUUCUUGAUUCAUCGCUUGUAUAUUAGCAAGGUCUUGUGGGAUGUUCGACACCAGCCCAUACAUAUUCACGCCUGAGUAUUAAAUUGUUGGGAACGUUUGACUAAAAUGGAUUCAGCAAAGAUAGAAUUAGGCAUAUCAAUACAGACACUGAUGCAUUUUCUGAAGAAACAAAGAAGAUACAGAAGUAUUAUGGCGCUAUUUGUGGCAGCUAGACGUAAUUGCCUGAAAUACAAGGUCACUAUGGAAGUGAACUGAUGAAGGAAGAGGGAUCCGGAGGCGUGGGGAUCUGCACUGCUCCAUCAAGCAUCUGUGUCACUUUAAGCAUGGUUGGCCGCAUAGUCGGCUCCUCCUGGAGGCACCAAAGGGCGACAGCCACGAAUCGCUCUGCCUUUUUUAUGUUGAAGUUUGCCUCAUCGUCGCCUUCCACCAGCAAGUCGAUCCUCCCAGACCUGUAACAGUCGUUUGCCC
Molecule: long non-coding RNA, 1008 nt
Organism: Triticum aestivum (bread wheat)
Lineage: Eukaryota; Viridiplantae; Streptophyta; Magnoliopsida; Poales; Poaceae
Exons: 3
Source: RefSeq, a predicted model, not a curated record